This 458-nucleotide ribosomal RNA is filed under the name uncultured bacterium. Its description in RNAcentral is "partial 16S ribosomal RNA". It matches the Rfam family "Bacterial small subunit ribosomal RNA", at positions 338 to 795 of the family's 1533-position model. The record is from RNAcentral.
CCUACGGGGGGCAGCAGUGAGGAAUAUUGGUCAAUGGGCGAGAGCCUGAACCAGCCAAGUCGCGUGAGGGAGUACUGCCCUAUGGGUUGUAAACCUCUUUUGUCGGGGAGCAAAAGCCGGACGUGUCCGGCUGUGAGAGUACCCGAAGAAAAAGCAUCGGCAAACCCCGUGCCAGCAGCCGCGGUAAUACGGAGGAUGCUAGGGGUAUACGGGUUUUUUGGGUUUAAAGGGUGCGCGGGCGGGUUUUUAAGUCAGCGGUAAAAUCGUGGGGCUUAACCCCAUCCAGCCGUUGAAACUGGGGAUCUAGAGUGUGCGAGAGGUAUGCGGAAUGCGUGGUGUAGCGGUGAAAUGCAUAGAUAUCACGCAGAACCCCGAUUGCGAAGGCAGCAUACCGGUGCACAACUGACGCUCAGGCACGAAAGCGUGGGUAUCGAACAGGAUUAGAUACCCGUGUAGUC